GUUCAACAAUUCCACCGGCUUAUAUUUCAAUCAGUAGGGACGGGGAGGAGAGACCAAGAAAGAAGUCGCCGACAGCUUCAAUGCAUGUGGGGAGGCAAGACGGGAGGUGAGGUUCGGAAUCACCACGAAGCAGGAGAAAGAGCUUCUUCAAGGCAUUGGCAAGCGCAGUCCAGGGAAAAUGAAAUGACAUGCGUGUUAGAGAGAGGUCGCAGUCAUUGUGAAGAGGCACAAAUGGUCACCACUGAACACGAGCAACCGAGUUAUCGACUCAGGGUAGGCGCGGCAUGGGCGACCUCAAGAAGCUAGUACCUAAGGAUUCCAAUUGUGGCCGCGGUUGACGAUCUAGGUGCUUGAUUUUUCCUCCAUGCAACAAACGAUGUAAAGCUUCAGAGAUAGCGCUGGAAGGGCGAGGAAGGGAGGUUUGGGGCUGUUAAGGAAGGGCAGGUCUCUGCGUGGGUACUGGGUAGUGCUUCGGGUCGGGCUGGGUUCUAUUUGUGUGGGCUGGGUCAAUUCUUUGGCCUAAGGCUAUGUCCAAAAACACAAACAAACAAAAAAACCUUGGCUUACUGGCUCAGCCACCCCUAACAUAAAGCAAGAGACAAGCCAUGCAACAAAUCAGCCAGGUGUCCAUCUCAUAUUCAUUAAAAGAGAAUAUCUGUAAAUCUAUAUCAAAUAGCAUCUGUACCAUAGAUU
Arachis ipaensis is the source of this 693-nucleotide non-coding RNA. The record is from RefSeq and is a predicted model, not a curated record. NCBI's taxonomy places the organism in Eukaryota, Viridiplantae, Streptophyta, Magnoliopsida, Fabales, Fabaceae.